CCUACGGGGGGCAGCAGUAGGGAAUCUUCCACAAUGGGCGAAAGCCUGAUGGAGCAACGCCGCGUGGGUGAAGAAGGUCUUCGGAUCGUAAAACCCUGUUGUUAGAGAAGAAAGUGCGUGAGAGUAACUGUUCACGUUUCGACGGUAUCUAACCAGAAAGCCACGGCUAAAUACGUGCCAGCAGCCGCGGUAAUACGUAGGUGGCAAGCGUUAUCCGGUUUUAUUGGGCGUAAAGGGAACGCAGGCGGUCUUUUAAGUCUGAUGUGAAAGCCUUCGGCUUAACCGGAGUAGUGCAUUGGAAACUGGGAGACGUGAGUGCAGGAGAGGAGAGUGGAACUCCAGGUGUAGCGGUGAAAUGCGUAGAUAUAUGGAAGAACACCAGUGGCGAAGGCGGCUCUCUGGUCUGUAACUGACGCUGAGGUUCGAAAGCGUGGGUAGCAAACAGGAUUAGAUACCCCUGUAGUC
RNAcentral lists this ribosomal RNA (465 nucleotides) under uncultured bacterium. RNAcentral describes it as "partial 16S ribosomal RNA". It matches the Rfam family "Bacterial small subunit ribosomal RNA", at positions 338 to 795 of the family's 1533-position model. The record is from RNAcentral.